UUUGUCUUGACAUAUGCUUUGGAUUCUUCAGUUACAGCUAGCAUACAGUUACUUAACGCGGUGCAUGCAAUUAACGUAUAAUCACUCAUCGCUUUUCCAUUGGUGAAUAAUAAUUGAGAACUAGGAUAAGUACUGAUGUGUUUACUUACACCUGACGCUCAUGGAUUAAUCUUGUCCUUCAUCCGCAUAUCGGCGACGAAAGUAAAAAAAAGUGUCACUCUGCUGUUGCGUUAAAAAAUCUCCCACUGUGUUUUAUUUUUUUUUUUAUUAAUAAUACUAGCCAAAAUAUGUCCUUGAUAUUUUCUUUCAUAUGUGCUUUUCUGCACACUUUUUCCUAAGUGCAGAGAAUUCACAGGUAAUUUCAAUGAAGCCUGUUGGUUGGAUUUCAUUGAAAUAAAAAAAACAAUUGAAGACGUGCAACGUUGCAAUCGGAAACACGCAUUUUUACUUCAGCCAUCAUUAUUUUAUUCACAUUUGGGCAAGAAUUUUGCCUACAAUUUUUCAACAAGAUGAUUGGUCCACUCUUAAUAAAACUGUCCUUGCCCUCUUGCGUCAACCAUGGCUCUUCAAAGUGAAACCUAUCUCCAUUCAAUUGGGCGGUGAUGAAAUUACCAAUCUAGAUCUAAAAUAUUAACUUACCCUUAGCUUAUAAGCCUAUUUCCUAAAAAUAAUAAUUUUAUCGCUAGGUGUCAGAUUGAAAUCUCAUAAUCACUGAAACUCAUAUGGGAAUAUUUUUUACGUAAUGAGUUGAAAUACAAUUUGCCUGAUCUUCAUUUUGAAAUGCAUCAGUUUUAGAUACAACUAACGUUUGCGAGUAAAAAUGAAAGUUACCAUGUUUUUGAAAAUGAAACUACUCGACAAUUUUCAUGAAAUAUUUUGGGACGCCACAUUCUGGUUACCUCCUAACACAACUUGGAAAGACUUUGAAAAAAUCAACGGUCGCGGACGGAUUUCGACUGUGAAUGAUCUGAUCUUCGCAUGGAAGCUUGUUCCUCUCUUACUGAUCUUCAAAUAUACGUUUGAAAAAUAUGUGGGUGCAAAGUUGGCAAACUGGGCUGAACUGGAGGAGAAACUGCGAGAAAAACCUCCAACUGUAAUUCUCUUAAAAGAGCUUAUCGUGAGAGUCGAGGUCGCGAAUGGAGGGAGCGGGAUGUUUUAGCUUUUUCAAAACAGCUCGACUGGUCUACACAGGAGGUGAGACAGUGGUUCAGAGCAAAGCAAAGAUUUGAAAACACGCCAAUCACGGACAAAAUCGGCGAGAGUUCGUAAGUAUCGGAUUCUGUUCUUCUGCCGAAGUUUUUGAAAAGUAUAAAAAAAUGAUAAAAUACAAUCAAUCCUAAUUUGAUUGUCAAGUUCAUAUGGUUUUAUACGAUGAAGUUUGCAUAGAUACCCUGUAGUAAUAGAGGAAGUUAUUUCAAAUUUUGCUUCAAAGCUUAUUUUUUAAGAGGAACACGUAUACGGACGUUUUCUGAUUGAAG
This 1478-nucleotide long non-coding RNA is filed under the name Bemisia tabaci. Its description in RNAcentral is "lncRNA ENSSSA2NGG000822". The record is from RNAcentral. Lineage: Eukaryota; Metazoa; Arthropoda; Insecta; Hemiptera; Aleyrodidae.